RNAcentral lists this ribosomal RNA (716 nucleotides) under uncultured bacterium. RNAcentral's name for it is "bacterial SSU rRNA". It matches the Rfam family "Bacterial small subunit ribosomal RNA", at positions 779 to 1498 of the family's 1533-position model. The record is from RNAcentral.
UAGAUACCCUGGUAGUCCACGCCCUAAACGAUGCACACUAGUUGUUGCUAUGCUAGACAUAGCAGUAAUGCAGUUAACACAUUAAGUGUGCCGCCUGGGGAGUACGGUCGCAAGAUUAAAACUCAAAGGAAUAGACGGGGACCCGCACAAGCGGUGGAGCAUGUGGUUUAAUUCGACGAUACGCGAAGAACCUUACCUGGCCUUGACAUAGUAAGAACCUAAUAGAGAUAUAAGGGUGCUAGUUUACUAGAGCUUACAUACAGGUGCUGCACGGCUGUCGUCAGCUCGUGUCGUGAGAUGUUGGGUUAAGUCCCGCAACGAGCGCAACCCUCGUGUCUAGUUACUAACAGUUCGGCUGAGGACUCUAGACAGACUGCCUGGGUAACCAGGAGGAAGGUGAGGACGACGUCAAGUCAUCAUGGCCCUUACGGCCAGGGCUACACACGUGCUACAAUGGGGUAUACAGAGAGCCGCAAUACCGCGAGGUGGAGCAAAUCUUCAAAAUAUCUCCCAGUUCGGAUAGCAGUCUGCAACUCGACUGCUUGAAGUUGGAAUCGCUAGUAAUCGUGAAUCAGCAAUGUCACGGUGAAUACGUUCCCGGGUCUUGUACUCACCGCCCGUCACACCAUGGGAGUUGAAUUCAUUCGAAGCGGGGAUGCUAAAGUAGCUACCUUCCACAGUGGAUUUAGUAACUAGGGUGAAGUCGUAACAAGGUA